This 497-nucleotide ribosomal RNA is filed under the name uncultured bacterium. Its description in RNAcentral is "partial 16S ribosomal RNA". It matches the Rfam family "Bacterial small subunit ribosomal RNA", at positions 28 to 507 of the family's 1533-position model. The record is from RNAcentral.
GAUGAACGCUGGCGGCGUGCCUAAUACAUGCAAGUCGAGCGAACAGAUAAGGAGCUUGCUCCUUUGACGUUAGCGGCGGACGGGUGAGUAACACGUGGGUAACCUACCUAUAAGACUGGAAUAACUCCGGGAAACCGGGGCUAAUGCCGGAUAACAUUUAGAACCGCAUGGUUCUAAAGUGAAAGAUGGUUUUGCUAUCACUUAUAGAUGGACCCGCGCCGUAUUAGCUAGUUGGUAAGGUAACGGCUUACCAAGGCAACGAUACGUAGCCGACCUGAGAGGGUGAUCGGCCACACUGGAACUGAGACACGGUCCAGACUCCUACGGGAGGCAGCAGUAGGGAAUCUUCCGCAAUGGGCGAAAGCCUGACGGAGCAACGCCGCGUGAGUGAUGAAGGUCUUCGGAUCGUAAAACCCUGUUAUUAGGGAAGAACAAAUGUGUAAGUAACUGUGCACGUCUUGACGGUACCUAAUCAGAAAGCCACGGCUAACUACGUG